Molecule: non-coding RNA, 2600 nt
Organism: Capsicum annuum
Lineage: Eukaryota; Viridiplantae; Streptophyta; Magnoliopsida; Solanales; Solanaceae
Source: Rfam
AUACAUUGGAUGGAUGCCCGGGCAUUGAGAAGGAAGGACGCUUUCAGAGGCGAAAGGCCAUGAGAAGAUACCGUCUAUGAUCCAUAGAUCUCUAAUCAGGAAACCGUAUCCAAGAUCCGUGGCUAGUCUGCGCUCUUUGGACUUUUCAAACUUAGAGAACUGAAACAUCUUAGUAGCUAAAGAAAGGGAAAUCAACCGAGACCCCGUGAGUAGCAGCGAGCGGGAGCGGAUUAGGGGUUUAAAGAAAAACAAAUACAAAGCUUUGUUCCUCUCCUUUUAGGCGAGCUACUUCAUUCCUCAGCAAAGUGUUCACUUCUUUUUCGCCGGGUUUCAUUCGAUUUGUUGUGGAUUGGGUGAUGGAAAAACCAGCAAGCUACGGCUUCAAAACUUACCUUAUUUAGAAAAGGAGAAAGGGCUAUUUUUAUAGAUAUUGAGGUUGAGUAAGGGGGGUGAAGCUUGAAGAGCAAAGCAAGCCGCGCUAGCCUAGCAAUAUUUUUCAGCAGCAAGCUAUGGUCUAACGAUCCCUUAACGUAGGUUGGGGCAAAAACUCCAAAAUCCAAAAUGUUGGUUAGGGUUCCUCUCCUUUUAGGCGAGCUACUUCAUUCUAAACCUUUCUCUAAUAAUAAGGUAAGCUUUCAAGCCGCCGCCCUUUAAAGGAGCGGGCGUAGUGAACUGUAAUUGUGAAAAGAUUGGAAGAUCUAGCCAAAGAAGGUGAUAGCCCUGUAGAUUCGUUCCCAUGGUUCGAUCUUUCCCAGUAAAAUGUGGCUUGUUCGAAUUCUGAUUGUUUUUAUGCGAGAAAGGGGGACCACCCUCUAAUCCUAAGUAUUCCUCAAUGACUGAUAGCGUACAAGUACCAUGAGGGAAAGGUGAAAAGAACACUAUUUAGGGAGUGCAAUAGAGAACCUGAGAUCCGAUGCGACAAUCAGUCGAAGUAGCAGAGCUUAGAGCCUUUACUUUAUGUAAAGCACACUCACUCUAAUGGCGUACCUUUUUCAUGAUGGGUCAGCGAGAAAAUGGGAACAGCGGCUUAAGCCAUUAGGUGUAGGCAUUUUCCAAAGGUGGAAUCUUCUAGUUCUUCCUAUUUGACCCGAAACCGAUCGAUUUAGCCAUGAGCAGGUUGAAGAGAGUUCUAACAGGCCUUGGAGGAUAGAACCCACGUAUGUGGAAAAAUACGGGGAUGACUUAUGGCUAGGGGUAAAAGGACAACCAAGAUCGGAUAUAGCUGGUUUUCUGCGAAAUCUAUUUUAGUAGAGCAUAUGAUGUCGAUGGCCCGAGGUAGAGCACUAAAUGGGCUAGGGUGGACUCAUUUUGCCUUACCAACCCCAGGGAAACUCCGAAUACAGGCCUAGAUUAUUUGUAUAGACAGACUUUUUGGGUACUAAGAUCCAAAGUAGAGAGGGAAAUAUCCCAGAUCGUACACUAAGGUCCAUAAGCAAUCACUUAGUAGAAAAGGAAGUGAUCGAGCGAUGACAACCAGGAGGUGGGCUUGGAAGCAGCCAUCCUUUAAAGAAAGUGUAAUAGCUCACUGGUCUAGCUCCAUAGCACCGAAAAUGUAUCAGGGCUCAAGUGAUUCACCGAAGCGACAAGACCUUGAAAGCUGCUUUUUCAAGUGUCAGUAGCAGAACGUUCUGUCAAUCGGGGAAGGUUUUUGGUGACAAGACCUGGAGAUAUCAAAAGUGAGAAUGCUAACAUGAGUAAUGAAAAAUCCUGUAAAAAACAUGAUCGCCUGCCAGUGGAAGGUUUUCUGCGUUCAGUCAAUCUACGCAGAGUGAAUCGGUCCCUAAGAAACCCCCGAAAGGGCCUAGUCCAAUGGGUACACGAAAGUGAUAAAGUUUCUUUUACUAUAGAACCAUGCCUGUCUGUUAGAGCGAAUUGGAUGUUCGAGCUGAGGGCUUCCUCCUCUUCCCUUCACUCUCUUUUCCCUAAUAUAAACCUUGAGUCAUCAAAGCCUUUCUGACUCGGCCUGGCUCGGUCUCCCUACGUGACUGGCGCUUCAAAAGGCGAAACUCUCAAUCGUAGUUUGGCAACCUAUCUUCAGUAGGGGACUUUAGUCUUUUGAUUAGAGUAGGGGUCGCGAGAGAGCAGAGCGUACUGCCCUGCCAUAGUCACGAGUCUGUUUAUCGUCGCGACUAUUGUCAUAGUUAACAAGGUUGAAACUUUCAGGAAAAAACUUGGAAUUGGGAGGAGAUCCUCCCGAUGAACUGACCAUACCCCAAACCGACACAGGUGAACAAUUAGAGUAUACUAGGGCGCUUGAGAGAACCAUGUUGAAGGAACUUGGCAAAAUGACCCCGUAACUUCAGGAGAAGGGGUGCUCUCCUAUCUUUUAAUUAGGAAAACGGAACAUACCAGGGGGUAGCGACUGUUUAUUAAAAAAUGGGACUCUGCUAAGUGGUAACACGAUGUAUAGAGUCUAAAACCUGCCCGAUGCUGGAAGGUCAGAAGGAGAAGUGUUAUAAGUUUUGAAUGGAAGCCCCGGUAAACGGCGGCAGUAACUCUAACUGUCCUAAGGUAGCAAAAUUCCUUGUCAUAUAAGUAGUGACCUGCACGAAUGGUGUAACGACUGCCCCGCGGUCUUCAACAUGGACUUGGUGAAAUUA